RNAcentral lists this ribosomal RNA (446 nucleotides) under uncultured bacterium. Its description in RNAcentral is "partial 16S ribosomal RNA". It matches the Rfam family "Bacterial small subunit ribosomal RNA", at positions 330 to 792 of the family's 1533-position model. The record is from RNAcentral.
UCCAGACUCCUACGGGAGGCAGCAGUGGGGGAUAUUGCACAAUGGGGGAAACCCUGAUGCAGCGACACCGCGUGGGUGAGGAAGCGCUUCGGCGUGUAAAGCCCUAUCAGUGGGGAAGAAAAAGGACGGUACCCAAAGAAGAAGCACCGGCUAAAUACGUGCCAGCAGCCGCGGUAAUACGUAGGUGGCAAGCGUUGUCCGGAUUUACUGGGUGUAAAGGGCGUGCAGCCGGAGAGACAAGUCAGAUGUGAAAUCCACGGGCUCAACCCGUGAACUGCAUUUGAAACUGUUUCCCUUGAGUGUCGGAGAGGUAAUCGGAAUUCCUUGUGUAGCGGUGAAAUGCGUAGAUAUAAGGAAGAACACCAGUGGCGAAGGCGGAUUACUGGACGAUAACUGACGGUGAGGCGCGAAAGCGUGGGGAGCAAACAGGAUUAGAUACCCGCGUA